AACGCAUCUUGCACUCUCGAAUCACUAUCGAGAGUAUGCCUGUUUGAGUGUCGCGAAACUCUCAACCCCGCCUCAUGCUUUAUUGCGUGUGGGUAGCUUGGGCUUGGAUCAUGAUCUUUGCAGUGUUGCAUUAGCAAACUGCUGGAUUGAAAUACAACAAGCUGAAUCUAUAUACUUGCGGCUUGACCUGUCGUUGUAAGCACACAAAUGCAUUCGAUGGGGACGCGAGAAAAUGGAAUGAGCUUUCCAAAUGUGUUACACUUUGCAGCUUCUAUUAACUUAGAGCUCUUAGUGCAUUCUGACCUCAAAUCAGGUAGGAUUACCCGCUGAACUUAA
RNAcentral lists this unclassified non-coding RNA (336 nucleotides) under uncultured Sterigmatomyces. RNAcentral's name for it is "sequence contains ITS2". The record is from RNAcentral. Lineage: Eukaryota; Fungi; Basidiomycota; Agaricostilbomycetes.